Molecule: ribosomal RNA, 736 nt
Filed under: uncultured Micromonospora sp.
Lineage: Bacteria; Bacillati; Actinomycetota; Actinomycetes; Micromonosporales; Micromonosporaceae
Description: bacterial SSU rRNA
Rfam family: Bacterial small subunit ribosomal RNA
Source: RNAcentral
GCAGUCGAGCGGAAGGCCCUUCGGGGUACUCGAGCGGCGAACGGGUGAGUAACACGUGAGCAACCUGCCCCAGGCUUUGGGAUAACCCCGGGAAACCGGGGCUAAUACCGAAUAUGACCUCUGACCGCAUGGUUGGUGGUGGAAAGUUUUUCGGCUUGGGAUGGGCUCGCGGCCUAUCAGCUUGUUGGUGGGGUGAUGGCCUACCAAGGCGACGACGGGUAGCCGGCCUGAGAGGGCGACCGGCCACACUGGGACUGAGACACGGCCCAGACUCCUACGGGAGGCAGCAGUGGGGAAUAUUGCACAAUGGGCGGAAGCCUGAUGCAGCGACGCCGCGUGAGGGAUGACGGCCUUCGGGUUGUAAACCUCUUUCAGCAGGGACGAAGCGUAAGUGACGGUACCUGCAGAAGAAGCGCCGGCCAACUACGUGCCAGCAGCCGCGGUAAGACGUAGGGCGCGAGCGUUGUCCGGAUUUAUUGGGCGUAAAGAGCUCGUAGGCGGCUUGUCGCGUCGACCGUGAAAACUUGGGGCUCAACCCCAAGCCUGCGGUCGAUACGGGCAGGCUAGAGUUCGGUAGGGGAGACUGGAAUUCCUGGUGUAGCGGUGAAAUGCGCAGAUAUCAGGAGGAACACCGGUGGCGAAGGCGGGUCUCUGGGCCGAUACUGACGCUGAGGAGCGAAAGCGUGGGGAGCGAACAGGAUUAGAUACCCUGGUAGUCCACGCUGUAAACGUUGGG